GAUGAACGCUGACAGAAUGCUUAACACAUGCAAGUCUUUGGCGAAUCUGUGCUUGCACAGGCUAGCCAAGGCGGACGGGUGAGUAACGCGUAAAGAACUUGCCCUGCAGACAGGGAUAACAGACGGAAACGACUGAUAACACCUGAUACAGUUGCCGGCACGCAUGUGCCUGGCAAUGAAAAGAGAUGCUGCAGGAGAGCUUUGCGUCCUAUUAGCUUGUUGGUGAGGUGACGGCUCACCAAGGCGAUGAUAGGUAGCCGGCCUGAGAGGGUGAACGGCCACAAGGGGACUGAGAUACGGCCCUUACUCCUACGGGAGGCAGCAGUGGGGAAUAUUGGACAUUGGGGGCAACCCUGAUCCAGCAUUUCUGUGUGCACGAAGAAGGUUUUCGGAUUGUAAAGUGCUUUCAGCAGGGAAGAAGAAAGUGACGGUACCUGCAGAAGAAGCGACGGCUAAAUACGUG
This 463-nucleotide ribosomal RNA is filed under the name uncultured bacterium. Its description in RNAcentral is "partial 16S ribosomal RNA". It matches the Rfam family "Bacterial small subunit ribosomal RNA", at positions 28 to 507 of the family's 1533-position model. The record is from RNAcentral.